AUUGAACGCUAGCGGCAUGCUUAACACAUGCAAGUCGAACGGCAGCGCGGGUAGCUUGCUACCUGGCGGCGAGUGGCGGACGGGUGAGUAAUGCGUAGGAAUCUACCUUAUAGUGGGGGAUAACCCGGAGAAACUCGGGCUAAUACCGCAUAAUCUCUACGGAGCAAAGCGGGGGACCUUCGGGCCUCGUGCUAUAAGAUGAGCCUACGUCGGAUUAGCUAGUUGGUGGGGUAAAGGCCUACCAAGGCGACGAUCCGUAGCUGGUCUGAGAGGACGAUCAGCCACACUGGGACUGAGACACGGCCCAGACUCCUACGGGAGGCAGCAGUGGGGAAUAUUGGACAAUGGGGGAAACCCUGAUCCAGCAAUGCCGCGUGUGUGAAGAAGGCCUUCGGGUUGUAAAGCACUUUCAGUGGGGAAGAAAGAACCAAAAUUAAUACUUUUGGGUGUUGACGUUACCCACAGAAGAAGCACUGGCUAACUCUGUGCCAGCCGCCGCGGUAA
This 504-nucleotide ribosomal RNA is filed under the name uncultured bacterium. RNAcentral's name for it is "partial 16S ribosomal RNA". It matches the Rfam family "Bacterial small subunit ribosomal RNA", at positions 30 to 523 of the family's 1533-position model. The record is from RNAcentral.